RNAcentral lists this ribosomal RNA (424 nucleotides) under uncultured bacterium. RNAcentral describes it as "bacterial SSU rRNA". It matches the Rfam family "Bacterial small subunit ribosomal RNA", at positions 355 to 775 of the family's 1533-position model. The record is from RNAcentral.
CGAGGAAUAUUGGUCAAUGGGCGCAAGCCUGAACCAGCCAUCCCGCGUGCAGAAAGACGGCGCUAUGCGUUGUAAACUGCUUUUCCAGGGGGAGAAACUUGCGCACGUGUUGCGCAAUUGACGGUGCCCUGGGAAUAAGCAUCGGCUAACUCCGUGCCAGCAGCCGCGGUAAUACGGAGGAUGCGAGCGUUAUCCGGAUUCAUUGGGUUUAAAGGGUGCGUAGGCGGACUAUUAAGUCAGUGGUGAAAUCCUGCAGCUUAACUGCAGAACUGCCAUUGAUACUGAUAGCCUUGAGUUUGGUUAAGGUAGGCGGAAUGUGUAAUGUAGCGGUGAAAUGCUUAGAUAUUACACAGAACACCAAUUGCGUAGGCAGCUUACUGAGCCGACACUGACGCUGAGGCACGAAAGCGUGGGGAUCGAACAG